RNAcentral lists this ribosomal RNA (487 nucleotides) under uncultured bacterium. RNAcentral's name for it is "bacterial SSU rRNA". It matches the Rfam family "Bacterial small subunit ribosomal RNA", at positions 30 to 521 of the family's 1533-position model. The record is from RNAcentral.
AUUGAACGCUGGCGGAAUGCUUUACACAUGCAAGUCGAACGGCAGCACGGGGCAACCUGGUGGCGAGUGGCGAACGGGUGAGUAAUACAUCGGAACGUGCCCAAUCGUGGGGGAUAACGUAGCGAAAGUUACGCUAAUACCGCAUACGAUCUACGGAUGAAAGUGGGGGAUCGCAAGACCUCACGUUAUAGGAGCGGCCGAUGUCCGAUUAGCUAGUUGGUGGGGUAAAGGCCUACCAAGGCGACGAUCGGUAGCUGGUCUGAGAGGAUGAUCAGCCACACUGGGACUGAGAUACGGCCCAGACUCCUACGGGAGGCAGCAGUGAGGAAUAUUGCGCAAUGGGCGAAAGCCUGACGCAGCAACGCCGCGUGUAGGAUGAAAUCUUUCGGGAUGUAAACUACUGUUAGAGGGGAAGAACUCCGGUUACGCCGGAAGUGACGGUACCCUCAGAGAAAGCCACGGCUAACUCUGUGCCAGCAGCCGCGGU